This 72-nucleotide transfer RNA is filed under the name Homo sapiens (human). RNAcentral's name for it is "tRNA-Lys (CTT) (tRX-Lys-NNN-6-1)". It matches the Rfam family "tRNA". From Rfam's summary of the family: Transfer RNA (tRNA) molecules are approximately 80 nucleotides in length. Their secondary structure includes four short double-helical elements and three loops (D, anti-codon, and T loops). Lineage: Eukaryota; Metazoa; Chordata; Mammalia; Primates; Hominidae. The record is from Rfam by way of RNAcentral.
GCCCAACUGGUUCAGUCGGUAGAGAAUGAGACUCUUAAUCUCAGGUCAUAGAUUCAUGUCACAUGUUGGGUG